RNAcentral lists this ribosomal RNA (468 nucleotides) under uncultured bacterium. RNAcentral describes it as "partial 16S ribosomal RNA". It matches the Rfam family "Bacterial small subunit ribosomal RNA", at positions 28 to 507 of the family's 1533-position model. The record is from RNAcentral.
GACGAACGCUGGCGGCGUGCUUAACACAUGCAAGUCGAACGGAAAGGCCCUGCUUUUGUGGGGUGCUCGAGUGGCGAACGGGUGAGUAACACGUGAGUAACCUGCCCUUGACUUUGGGAUAACUUCAGGAAACUUGGGCUAAUACCGGAUAGGAGCUCCUGCUGCAUGGUGGGGGUUGGAAAGUUUCGGCGGUUGGGGAUGGAUUCGCGGCUUAUCAGCUUGUUGGUGGGGUAGUGGCUUACCAAGGCUUUGACGGGUAGCCGGCCUGAGAGGGUGACCGGCCACAUUGGGACUGAGAUACGGCCCAGACUCCUACGGGAGGCAGAAGUGGGGAAUAUUGCACAAUGGGCGGAAGCCUGAUGCAGCAACGCCGCGUGCGGGAUGACGGCCUUCGGGUUGUAAACCGCUUUCGCCUGUGACGAAGCGUGAGUGACGGUAAUGGGUAAAGAAGCACCGGCUAACUACGUG